GACGGGGGGGGCAAGUGUUCUUCGGAAUGACUGGGCGUAAAGGGCACGUAGGCGGUGAAUCGGGUUGAAAGUGAAAAGUCGCCCAAAAAACUGGCGGAAUGCUCUCGAAACCAAUUCACUUGGGUGAGACAGAGGAGAGUGGAAUUUCGUGUUGUAGGGGUGGAAAAUCCGCAAAUCUACGAAGGAAGGCCAAAAGCGAAGGCAGCUCUCUGGGUCCCUACCGACGCGUGGGGGUGCGAAAGCAUGGGGAGCGAACAGG
Molecule: ribosomal RNA, 259 nt
Filed under: uncultured bacterium
Lineage: Bacteria
Description: partial 16S ribosomal RNA
Rfam family: Bacterial small subunit ribosomal RNA
Source: RNAcentral